Molecule: unclassified non-coding RNA, 413 nt
Filed under: uncultured Russulales
Lineage: Eukaryota; Fungi; Basidiomycota; Agaricomycetes; Agaricales
Description: sequence contains ITS2
Rfam family: 5.8S ribosomal RNA (bases 1-154)
Source: RNAcentral
AACUUUUAACAAUGGAUCUCUUGGCUCUCGCAUCGAUGAAGAACGCAGCGAAUUGCGAUGUGUAAUGUGAAUUGCAGAAUUCAGUGAAUCAUCGAAUCUUUGAACGCACCUUGCGCCCUUUGGUAUUCCGAAGGGCAUGCCUGUUUGAGUGUCAUUGAACAAUCAACUUCACAAACUUUGUGAGGCUUGGACUGUGAGGGCCUGCAGGCAUCCUUGAUGCCGGCUCCCUUUAAAUGGAUCAGCGAGUGCCUUUCCAACUGGCUCUGGAUUGAUAAGUCUGUCUAUCCGUUGCCACCAUCAAAGGCCUGCUUCGAAUCGUCCCUCGGGGACUGUCCUUCGGGGCACACUUUGAUCUUGACCUCAAAUCAGGUAGGACUACCCGCUGAACUUAAGCAUAUCAAUAAGCGGAGGCU